UUUUGGGAUUGAUGACCUAAAAGGGACAUUUAAUCUUAGCCUCUUAGGUAGCUUUGCAGGUUGAGUAGCUUUUGAGGUGAAACUUUUCAACCUUUCUAAGCAUGUAGACGCUAAUAUGAACUGUUUUAAGACUGGAGUUCAAUUCUCCACAUCUCCACCA
RNAcentral lists this transfer-messenger RNA (160 nucleotides) under Arcobacter sp. Its description in RNAcentral is "partial transfer-messenger RNA". It matches the Rfam family "transfer-messenger RNA", at positions 218 to 374 of the family's 374-position model. Rfam says of the family: Bacterial tmRNA, also known as 10Sa RNA or SsrA, is named for its dual tRNA and mRNA-like properties. Its role is to liberate the mRNA from a stalled ribosome. The record is from RNAcentral. Lineage: Bacteria; Pseudomonadati; Campylobacterota; Epsilonproteobacteria; Campylobacterales; Arcobacteraceae.